CGUCAUCAGAAAUUGCAGUCAUGGAGAGCGUAAGAAGCGAAAGCCCAGUUGACAACGUUUCUGGCACCGAAUGCAAAGACAAAGAUGGCAGAAUCUGUACAUGUUGCAAUACGUCCUGCUGCCCAGAAAGACGACAACACAAGACGUCAUUCAACAUGUGGUAUUUCUGGUAAGAUACACCAUUUUUGUCUUCCCGGAAGCCUUCAGCAGUAAAGUUUUUUUUUUAUCCUCUUUGUUUUUUUUUACUUUCUUUCAAUAUUGUCGUUGAUGUGGCUGUUACUAUUGUUUGAUGAUGUUGAUAACGAUGCUGAUGAUGAUGACAAUGAUGAUGACGAUGAUGAUGAUGAUGAUGAUGAUGAUGAUGAUGAUGAU
Molecule: long non-coding RNA, 372 nt
Organism: Octopus bimaculoides (California two-spot octopus)
Lineage: Eukaryota; Metazoa; Mollusca; Cephalopoda; Octopoda; Octopodidae
Source: RefSeq, a predicted model, not a curated record